RNAcentral lists this transfer RNA (70 nucleotides) under Neogobius melanostomus (round goby). RNAcentral's name for it is "tRNA-Phe". Lineage: Eukaryota; Metazoa; Chordata; Actinopteri; Gobiiformes; Gobiidae. The record is from RNAcentral.
GCUAGUGUAGCUUAACUAAAGCAUAAUCCCGAGGCUGUUAAAUAAGGCCCUAGUGAAAGCCUCGUUAGUA